UGCGUAGGCGGAAGAUUAAGUCAGUGGUGAAAUCCUGCAGCUCAACUGUAGAACUGUCAUUGAUACUGAUAUUCUUGAAUGUAGUUGAGGUAGGCGGAAUGUGUAAUGUAGCGGUGAAAUGCUUAGAUAUUACACAGAACACCGAUUGCGAAGGCAGCUUACUAAACUAUGAUUGACGCUGAGGCACGAAAGCGUGGGGAGCGAACAGGAUUAGAUACCCUGGUAGUCC
Molecule: ribosomal RNA, 229 nt
Filed under: uncultured bacterium
Lineage: Bacteria
Description: partial 16S ribosomal RNA
Rfam family: Bacterial small subunit ribosomal RNA
Source: RNAcentral